This is a small nuclear RNA of Alexandromys fortis (reed vole), 103 nucleotides long. Lineage: Eukaryota; Metazoa; Chordata; Mammalia; Rodentia; Cricetidae. The record is from RefSeq and is a predicted model, not a curated record.
GUGCUCAUUUCAGCAGCACAAAUACUAAAACUGGAACAACACAUAGAAAAUUAGCAUGGCCCCUGCACCAGGAUGACAUGCAAAUUCAUGAAGACAGUUCUUU